CAAUCAGGGUUUUUGAAACUGCUUUGUUUUGUUGUGCCUCCUUUCCGUUUUAUAUACCCCUACCUUUUUUCACGCCAUCACCACUCCUGAACCACUUGAAAAUUUCUUUUUUUAUGGAUCGAAGUAAGUUCUAUAUAUUUUUUUUCUCUCUCUUUCUUAUCUGUGAUGUGAGUUGUGUGCGGCCUCAUCUGUAUCUUUUUUAUUUCAGAUUUUUUAUUCAGUUAUAAUGGUAGAUAAUUAUUUGUGGUAUGUCUCUGGUACUCUGUUUGUUUAAUCAAAUCGUAAAAAUAGCAAAAUUUUGAUAAAUCGAUUAAAUGACAUGGAUAUCAAAUGAGGUGUAAUUAUUGAAUGAUAGAUUCUUGGGAUGUACAUAGAGAAAUAAUCCACACAUCUUCUCUGUUUUGGAACAUGAAUAAAGAACUAUGUUAUUACUUCAUGAAUUUUUCUUUUUUUAACUGCAAAUACUUGGACGGAUAUAUGAUAACCAACAUCAAUUUGAGUUUUAAAACUUAUUUGUAUCUUUAUUAAAAUCUAAAAUUUGCUUGAACACAUGAAAGCAUUUUAUAAAUUGUGAAUAAAUGACAUCUCAUUCAAUAGUUAGAUUUAGGGGCGACAAACGUGUAGGAUAAGUUUGGAUAAAUUAAAAUUAGUCUUGUAAAUACAUGAAUCGUGAUUUAACUAGAUCGAAGUUUGUUGUGUUGAAAUUUAUUGAAUCAAAUAUUACGUCAUAGCAAAAUAUGCCAAACAUAUGUGUUUAAAUGUCGAACAUUGUACACUUUGUGGGUCAAUUAACACAUUUAGAGGUGUCAAAUAAGUAUAUCUAAUCAAGUUUCAGUGAGUAAUUAAAACGAAUUCAGUCAAUAAAUAAACUGUGAUAUUAAUUUUAUUCAAAGUUUGCUGGAAUCAUGGGUCAAACGAUAGAUCACACUGAUUCACCAACUAAGUUUUGCGAUUGAGUGGCUAUACUUUGGUCAAAGUUUACACCUAGAUUAUUGACACAAUCGAUGUAAAAAAGUGCACAACCACUUAUAAAUGAUUAGCUUUUUUUACUUUCAUGAGAUAUAUUUUUAUCUUAUUUUUUUCUUCCUUUAUGUAGUUAUUUUUGAAUAGCCGUGGAAUGUGAGUCAACUUGUAUGUUUAUCAAGAAAGGACAUUUUAGGGCAUAAAUGGGUCACGAUAACAAGAUUUUAGAAUUGAUAUUAGGCUCUGAAGCUUCAACUUUCACCGAGUCACCAAAAUUAUAUAUAACAUCUCAAAGGUUGAUAACUUUGGAGCCUAAUACUCUCCUGAAAUCUUAGUACCUUGAUUCAACCUUAACGAUGUUUAUUCUUCCUUUAUACCAUUAUCUUUUAAUAGCUGUACCACGUGAGCUAACUUGUAUGUUUGUCAACUGUAAGGCAUAAAUGGAUUAAGAUAACAAGUUUUCAGGAUUGGUAUUAGGCUAUGAAGCUUCAACUUUCAUCAAGUCUCCCAAAUUAUAUAUGGCAUCUCCAAGAUUGAUAAUUUUAGAGUCCAAUCCUCUCCUGAAGUCUUAGUACCUUGAUUCAACCUUAAAAUUGUUUUUGCUUUCUUUAUGUCAUUAUCUUUGAAUAGUUGUAGCAUGUGAGUCAAUUUGUAAGUUUAUCAAGAAAGGACACUUUAAGGCAUAAAUGGAUCAAGAUAACAAGGUUUCAGGAUUGGUAUUAGGCUCUAAAGCUUCAACUUUGACCAAGUCUCUAAAAUUAAUAUGGCAUUCCAAGAUUGAUAAUUUGGAGCCCAACCCUCUCCUGAAAUCUUAGUACCUUGGUUCAACCUUAAAGUUGUUUUAUCUUCCUUUAUGUUUAUCUUUAAAUAGUUGUAGCAUAUGAGUCAGCUUGCAUGUUUAUCUGGAAAGAGCACUUUAAGGAAUAAAUGAGUCAAGAUAACCAAGUUCCAGGAAUGGUCUUAGGCUCUGAAGCUUCAACUUUCACCAAGUCUCCAAUAUUAUAUGUGGCAUCUCCGAGGUUGAUAAUUUUAGAGCCUAAUCCUUUCCAGAAAUCUUAGUAUCUUGAUUCAACCUUAAAGACGUUUUUUCUUCUUUUAUGCCAUUGUCUUUGAAUAGUUGUAGCAUGUGAGUUAACUUGUAUGUUUAUCAAGAAAGGACACUUUAAGACAUAAUUUUCAAGAUAAAAAGGGUUCAGGAUUGGUAUAGGCUCUGUAGCAUCAACUUUCACCAAGUCUCCAAAAUUCUAUAUGACAUCUCCAAUGUUGAUAACUUUGGAGCCUUCUCUUGAAAUCUUAAUACCUUGAUUCAACUGUAAAGUUGUUUUUCUUCCUUUAUGCAAUUAUCUUUGAAUAGUUGUGGCAUGUGAGUCAACUUUAAUGUUUAUCUGGAAAGGGCACUUUAACACAUAAAUGGGUCAAGAUAACAAGGCUUCAGAUUGGCUUAGGCUUUGAAGCUUCAACUUCCACCAAGUCUCCAAAAUUAUAUAUGGUAUCUCCAAGCUCCAAUCUCGUUGGCAAUAGCUUCAACUAUUUCAAAAACGAAUCUGCAACGGUUCACCAGAGAGCCUCCAUACUGGUGACAGAGCUCCACGGAUCUCAAUCCAAUCAAAACCUACAAAUGCAACAAUAAAUACAUGAAAAAUUUAGAAAUUUGUUAGUGGAUGGAUUAAAGGAGCACAAGGAUAUACUAAUUUAAGAUUGCAUAUGUUUUGUCGAAUAUUACAAUGACCAUUAUCAACAAUCUUGUCAAAACCUGAGUGAUCAAAGGAUCAUCUUUGUCUCUACAUGGCUUGAAUUCAUCCUUCAUGAUUUGGUGUUUAUCUUAAACCUUGGGUCCUUGUUAAAUGUGAUAAUUUUUGAGUUUUGAACCUAGUUCACAAUCCUGUAUUUCUUGUCAUUGUAACAUAUUGCUUUCAAUUAUAUUUUGUACGAGAGAAUCUCGAUGGAGAUAUAGGCAUAUAGCGUUGUAUAAUUAUCAUCACGUUAAUAUUAUAAUUUAACAUGAAUUCUAGUC
Long non-coding RNA from Lycium ferocissimum, 2977 nucleotides. RefSeq lists it as uncharacterized. The record is from RefSeq and is a predicted model, not a curated record. NCBI's taxonomy places the organism in Eukaryota, Viridiplantae, Streptophyta, Magnoliopsida, Solanales, Solanaceae. The transcript has 2 exons.